Long non-coding RNA from Bos taurus (domestic cattle), 2966 nucleotides. NCBI's taxonomy places the organism in Eukaryota, Metazoa, Chordata, Mammalia, Artiodactyla, Bovidae. The record is from Ensembl.
UCACAGAAAGUUCAAGACCAUCUUACAUUAGUAUAAUGCAGAUGAAAGUUCCUAAUGCUUUGAAAAUUCUAAUCCCACAGCAGCAAUGUAUGAAUUUAAGCAUGCCAUUAAGAAAAAAAUUAACUUCAUUCAUUAAAUUCAUUCUUUCAUUCAAUCAUUACUAAUGUUUCCCAGGUCACAUCAGCCUAAAGGUAAAAUAGGUCGUGCAGCUGUCAAAAAUAACAAAAAUAUUUUUCCAGCUUCAGCCUGCCACUUAACAGAAAGCAUCAGCCCCACUUCAAGUUGUCUCAAAGGUAUUUUACCCAGGAGCUCUGAUGACUCACCCGGCGUAUCUUUGGUAACAGAAGAGGCAGCCUUUUUGCUGCAGACACAGUACAUGCGGCUUCCACUCAUGCCUUGGACAUCAACUCUUGUCCUUUUACUGACUUUGUUUUUCCUUAACACCUCCUUUCUUCCAGAACAAAGGCAAUCUUGCCUUCCAGAGGCAUAAUGUCUGGAGAUGUUAGUGUUUUUCAUGACUGCAGAAGGAGGAUGCUACUGGCAUCUAGAGGAUGGAGCUAGGGAUGCUACCAAAUACUCUGCAGUGCACAGAACAGCCCCUCACAACAAGAAAUAUCUGGGCCAAAAUGCCAAUAGUGCUGAGGCAGAAAGACCUGAGUCUCAGAAAGCUGGCCUACAGGACAAUCUGAGGAACAGUAGCUCUUCCAUUCUCAAAAAUCACCUCUGGUAUUUUUAAGCUAAACAUGCUCCUCCUCUUUGCCUCUCCUUAGGAUGAUAGGAUUCUUUCAACAUUAAAAGCAGACUUGCCUCCUCUUUAGAGAAUGUAAUGAUCAUCUGAGACACUGAACAAGAAACAGUCUCUCUGUCAUAGCUAUUGUUUUCUGUUACCACACUCUUUCCGGCCCAAUCCUCCUUCUGGUAACAGAUCCGGCUGCCUUGACCUCGAGGGGUGGGCCUAUAACUCAGGUGAGCCAAACAAUAGGCCUUCCCCAGGUUUUUCUUUUUCACUCAAGCUGAGGAAAGAGAAUCUCUUUUCUGGCCUCAUGACUAUAUAGUAAGAGGCUCUGGGGGGAAACAUCUUGAGAUAAUGAGGCUCUCCUACAGAGAGAAGCAGAAAGGAAGAAAGCAAGGAGAGAGGAGGAAGUGAGAGAAAAUACUGAAACUGCCACCAGGUGGAAGAAGUUAAUCAUAUGCUCCGCAUAAGCAUGUUGGAGUAGGAAAUGGCAACCUAAUCCAGUAUUCUUGCCCUGAAAACUCUGUGAGCAGAGGAGCCUGAAAGGCCACAGUCCAUGGGGUGGCAAAUGGUUGUGAUCUUGGAUGGCCUCAGCUUGCAGCGGCUUGGAUCGGGGCUUGGGUUCCCAGCCAGAGACUGGGCUGGGUUGCGUGGUGAAAGCACAAGAUCCUACCCACUAGACUGGGCCCUUCUGAAUUUUCAGAAAAGAAUUCCAACAAAGACAGUUUCCUUUGGCCAGUCAUUAUCAUUUGCCUUGAAGGAGGAAACAGAACAGGCUUAAUCUUGAAAGCAGGACUCCAUCUUGAGCCGGACUGUGGACUUUGAGCUAUAUGCCCAGUAUCUAUGGAAAUGACAUACCAACUGGAAAACCAGGCCCCCAGAAGGAAGAGCUCCAGGGCUCAUACCCAGACUCUCUGUAACUUAAAAGAAUACCCUAAUUCUCUGUGUAACCAAAUAGAAUCAUACAUUCUGCUGCUGCUGCUGCUAAGUCGCUUCAGUCGUGUCCGACUCUGUGCAACCCCAUAGAUGGCAGCCCAACAGGCUCCCCCAUCACUGGGACUCUCCAGGCAAGAAUACUGGAGUGGGUUGCCAUUUCCUUCUCCAAUGCAUGAAAGUGAAAAGUGAAAGUGAAGUCGCUCAGUCGUGUCCGACUCUUAGCGACCCCAUGGACUUCAGCCUACCAGCCUUCUUCAUCUAUGGGAUUUUCCAGGCAAGAGUACUGGAGUGGGGUGCCAUUGCCUUCUCCAAGAAUCAUACAUUCUAUUAUGCUUAUUGGGGUAUGACCACAGGCCUAUUGAUAAUUCUCUACUGUUAACCACUUAGGCUUAAGGCAUAUGAAUCACAGGUUAACUUUAAUGUAUCUUUUUUUUUUCCCUUUGUUCCCACUUGUUUCAGGGAAUCUGGGAAGGUGGGUUUGGGCACAUAUAUAAGGUUUUCACAAAAACUGGCUGGGGUCCUUGGCUAAGAGGAGACUCUGCCUUAGCCCUGCCAGUGUAAUAAACUGUACUUCACUAUCUGCAUCAUCCUUCUAAGUGAGUUUGUUUCCCGGAACACGUGGCUACAAAAGCCUGGUUCACAGUCCAUAUUUGGUAUAUCUCAGGAUCCUCCCAUGUGUGUACAUGAGUCUCUUAGCCAAGAUGGAUCUUACUGAAAAGGCAUGUGGGUAGGGAACACCCCUUUGCAUAACUCCCCUUUAGCCUUCCAGGAGCCUUUUCUGUGCAUGUGUGGCUGGGGAGGGCUCCUGGCUUCACGAACAAGAAAUGUGUGGUCUAGCCAGGGCCCAGCCUUCUCCCUUACUUGUCCUGCUAUUCUUGUCUUGGAGUUUCAGUCCACAGGGAAUGAAUCUCCAACUCCUUUACCCUGGGUGGGGGGGCUCCUAUCAGCCUUCUGCCUCACUUGGACAUGCCUGAGCACACUCAUAAGCAUGUAGACCCCAGACUGGCUGGAAACAGAAAGUUGAUGAUGCUGACUACCGAUUACCUCACCACCAACCAAUCAGAAGAAUGUCCACAAGAUGAUGGUGUUCUUCUCUUUACUGUAAAACUCCUCACUACCACCCUCCAGGUUGGGACACACAAUUUUGAGGGCGUAGGCCUGCUGUGGCCCCCACCUUUGCCUGGCAAAGCAAUAAAGCUAUUCUUUUCUACUUUACCGAAAACUCUGAGAUUCAACUCUGUAUGCUGGUGUACAGAAGCCAAAUUUCAGCUAGUGUAGCAUGAAAAGUGCCCCAGUG